GUUAGUGGCGCACGGGUGCGUAACGCGUGGGAAUCUGCCCCUUGCUUCGGAAUAACAGUUAGAAAUGACUGCUAAUACCGGAUGAUGACUUCGGUCCAAAGAUUUAUCGGCAAGGGAUGAGCCCGCGUAGGAUUAGCUAGUUGGCGGGGUAAAGGCCCACCAAGGCGACGAUCCGUAGCUGGUCUGAGAGGAUGAUCAGCCACACUGGAACUGAGACACGGUCCAGACUCCUACGGGAGGCAGCAGUGGGGAAUAUUGGACAAUGGGCGCAAGCCUGAUCCAGCCAUACCGCGUGGGUGAAGAAGGCCUUCGGGUUGUAAAGCCCUUUUGUUGGGAAAGAAAUCCAGCUGGCUAAUACCCGGUUGGGAUGACGGUACCCAAAGAAUAAGCACCGGCUAACUUCGUGCCAGCAGCCGCGGUAAUACGAAGGGUGCAAGCGUUACUCGGAAUUACUGGGCGUAAAGCGUGCGUAGGUGG
RNAcentral lists this ribosomal RNA (477 nucleotides) under uncultured Lysobacteraceae bacterium. RNAcentral describes it as "bacterial SSU rRNA". It matches the Rfam family "Bacterial small subunit ribosomal RNA", at positions 91 to 578 of the family's 1533-position model. Lineage: Bacteria; Pseudomonadati; Pseudomonadota; Gammaproteobacteria; Lysobacterales; Lysobacteraceae. The record is from RNAcentral.